GAUGAAGAACGUAGCGAAAUGCGAUAAGUAAUGUGAAUUGCAGAGUUCAGUGAAUCAUCGAAUCUUUGAACGCACAUUGCGCCCUUUGGUAUUCCAAAGGGCAUGCCUGUUCGAGCGUCAUUUGUACCCUCAAGCUUUGCUUGGUGUUGGGCGUCUUGUCUCUAGCUUUGCUGGAGACUCGCCUUAAAGUAAUUGGCAGCCGGCCUACUGGUUUCGGAGCGCAGCACAAGUCGCACUCUCUAUCAGCAAAGGUCUAGCAUCCAUUAAGCCUUUUUUUCAACUUUUGACCUCGGAUCAGGUAGGGAUACCCGCUGAACUUAAGCAUAUCAAUAAGCGGAGGA
This 341-nucleotide unclassified non-coding RNA is filed under the name soil metagenome. RNAcentral's name for it is "partial contains 5.8S ribosomal RNA, internal transcribed spacer 2, and large subunit ribosomal RNA". The stretch from base 1 to 120 matches the Rfam family "5.8S ribosomal RNA", at positions 35 to 154 of the family's 154-position model. The record is from RNAcentral.